This 532-nucleotide ribosomal RNA is filed under the name Methylovorus sp. enrichment culture clone VMA41. Its description in RNAcentral is "bacterial SSU rRNA". It matches the Rfam family "Bacterial small subunit ribosomal RNA", at positions 379 to 902 of the family's 1533-position model. The record is from RNAcentral. Lineage: Bacteria; Pseudomonadati; Pseudomonadota; Betaproteobacteria; Nitrosomonadales; Methylophilaceae.
AAGCCUGAUCCAGCCAUGCCGCGUGAGUGAAGAAGGCCUUCGGGUUGUAAAGCUCUUUCGCAAGGAAAGAAAACUUAUUCGCUAAUACCGGGUGAGGAUGACGGUACCUUGAUAAGAAGCACCGGCUAACUACGUGCCAGCAGCCGCGGUAAUACGUAGGGUGCGAGCGUUAAUCGGAAUUACUGGGCGUAAAGCGAGCGCAGGCGGUUUUGUAAGUCAGAUGUGAAAGCCCCGGGCUCAACCUGGGAACUGCGUUUGAAACUGCAAGGCUAGAGUAUGGGAGAGGGGGGUAGAAUUCCACGUGUAGCAGUGAAAUGCGUAGAGAUGUGGAGGAAUACCAAUGGCGAAGGCAGCCCCCUGGCCUAAUACUGACGCUCAUGCUCGAAAGCGUGGGGAGCAAACAGGAUUAGAUACCCUGGUAGUCCACGCCCUAAACGAUGUCUACUAGUUGUUGGUGGAGUAAAAUCCAUGAGUAACGCAGCUAACGCGUGAAGUAGACCGCCUGGGGAGUACGGUCGCAAGAUUAAAACUC